Molecule: ribosomal RNA, 280 nt
Filed under: uncultured bacterium
Lineage: Bacteria
Description: partial 16S ribosomal RNA
Rfam family: Bacterial small subunit ribosomal RNA
Source: RNAcentral
ACUUGCUUUCUUUGCUGGCGACCGGCGCACGGGUGAGUAACACGUAUCCAACCUGCCGAUAACUCGGGGAUAGCCUUUCGAAAGAAAGAUUAAUACCCGAUGGCAUAAUAGAACCGCAUGGUUUGAUUAUUAAAGAAUUUCGGUUAUCGAUGGGGAUGCGUUCCAUUAGGCAGUUGGUGGGGUAACGGCCCACCAAACCUUCGAUGGAUAGGGGUUCUGAGAGGAAGGUCCCCCACAUUGGAACUGAGACACGGUCCAAACUCCUACGGGAGGCAGCAUG